RNAcentral lists this ribosomal RNA (359 nucleotides) under uncultured bacterium. Its description in RNAcentral is "partial 16S ribosomal RNA". It matches the Rfam family "Bacterial small subunit ribosomal RNA", at positions 338 to 694 of the family's 1533-position model. The record is from RNAcentral.
CCUACGGGAGGCAGCAGUGAGGAAUAUUGGUCAAUGGUCGCAAGCCUGAACCAGCCAAGUCGCGUGAGGGAUGACGGUCCUAUGGAUUGUAAACCUCUUUUGUCGGGGAGCAAGGCCCGCCACGUGUGGCGGGAAGGAUAGUACCCGAAGAAAAAGCACCGGCUAACUCCGUGCCAGCAGCCGCGGUAAUACGGAGGAUGCGAGCGUUAUCCGGUUUUUUUGGGUUUAAAGGGUGCUGAGGGGGAAGUUUAAGUCAGCGGUCAAAUGUCGGUGCUCAACACCGGCCUGCCGUUGAAACUGGUGUUCGUGAGUGAGGGAGAAGUAUGAGGAAUGGGGGGUGUAGCGGUGAAAGGCAUAGA